This 406-nucleotide ribosomal RNA is filed under the name uncultured bacterium. RNAcentral describes it as "partial 16S ribosomal RNA". It matches the Rfam family "Bacterial small subunit ribosomal RNA", at positions 30 to 525 of the family's 1533-position model. The record is from RNAcentral.
AUUGAACGCUGGCGGCAGGCCUAACACAUGCAAGUCGAGCGAGCGGCGGACGGGUGAGUAAUGUCUGGGAAACUGCCUGAUGGAGGGGGAUAACUACUGGAAACGGUAGCUAAUACCGCAUACCAUCAGAUGUGCCCAGAUGGGAUUAGCUAGUAGGUGGGUGAAAGGCUCACCUAGGCGACUAUCCAUAGCUGGUCUGAGAGGAUGACCAGCCACACUGGAACUGAGACACGGUCCAGAUUCCUACGGGAGUGAGCAGGGGGGAAUAUUGCAAAAUGGGCGAAAGCCUGAUGCCGCCAUGACGCGUGGAGGAAGAAGGCCUUCGGGUUGUAAAGAACGUUCAGCGAGGGGGCGUUACUCGCAGAAGAAGCACCGGCUAACUCCGUGCCAGCAGCCGCGGUAAUUA